UAGUGAUUCCUACGGGAGGCAGCAGUGGGGAAUAUUGGACAAUGGGCGAAAGCCUGAUCCAGCAAUGCCGCGUGAGUGAUGAAGGCCUUAGGGUUGUAAAGCUCUUUUACCCGGGAUGAUAAUGACAGUACCGGGAGAAUAAGCUCCGGCUAACUCCGUGCCAGCAGCCGCGGUAAU
RNAcentral lists this ribosomal RNA (177 nucleotides) under uncultured bacterium. RNAcentral's name for it is "partial 16S ribosomal RNA". It matches the Rfam family "Bacterial small subunit ribosomal RNA", at positions 330 to 524 of the family's 1533-position model. The record is from RNAcentral.